Molecule: ribosomal RNA, 2903 nt
Filed under: Escherichia coli
Lineage: Bacteria; Pseudomonadati; Pseudomonadota; Gammaproteobacteria; Enterobacterales; Enterobacteriaceae
Description: bacterial LSU rRNA
Rfam family: Bacterial large subunit ribosomal RNA
Source: RNAcentral
UUAAGCGACUAAGCGUACACGGUGGAUGCCCUGGCAGUCAGAGGCGAUGAAGGACGUGCUAAUCUGCGAUAAGCGUCGGUAAGGUGAUAUGAACCGUUAUAACCGGCGAUUUCCGAAUGGGGAAACCCAGUGUGUUUCGACACACUAUCAUUAACUGAAUCCAUAGGUUAAUGAGGCGAACCGGGGGAACUGAAACAUCUAAGUACCCCGAGGAAAAGAAAUCAACCGAGAUUCCCCCAGUAGCGGCGAGCGAACGGGGAGCAGCCCAGAGCCUGAAUCAGUGUGUGUGUUAGUGGAAGCGUCUGGAAAGGCGCGCGAUACAGGGUGACAGCCCCGUACACAAAAAUGCACAUGCUGUGAGCUCGAUGAGUAGGGCGGGACACGUGGUAUCCUGUCUGAAUAUGGGGGGACCAUCCUCCAAGGCUAAAUACUCCUGACUGACCGAUAGUGAACCAGUACCGUGAGGGAAAGGCGAAAAGAACCCCGGCGAGGGGAGUGAAAAAGAACCUGAAACCGUGUACGUACAAGCAGUGGGAGCACGCUUAGGCGUGUGACUGCGUACCUUUUGUAUAAUGGGUCAGCGACUUAUAUUCUGUAGCAAGGUUAACCGAAUAGGGGAGCCGAAGGGAAACCGAGUCUUAACUGGGCGUUAAGUUGCAGGGUAUAGACCCGAAACCCGGUGAUCUAGCCAUGGGCAGGUUGAAGGUUGGGUAACACUAACUGGAGGACCGAACCGACUAAUGUUGAAAAAUUAGCGGAUGACUUGUGGCUGGGGGUGAAAGGCCAAUCAAACCGGGAGAUAGCUGGUUCUCCCCGAAAGCUAUUUAGGUAGCGCCUCGUGAAUUCAUCUCCGGGGGUAGAGCACUGUUUCGGCAAGGGGGUCAUCCCGACUUACCAACCCGAUGCAAACUGCGAAUACCGGAGAAUGUUAUCACGGGAGACACACGGCGGGUGCUAACGUCCGUCGUGAAGAGGGAAACAACCCAGACCGCCAGCUAAGGUCCCAAAGUCAUGGUUAAGUGGGAAACGAUGUGGGAAGGCCCAGACAGCCAGGAUGUUGGCUUAGAAGCAGCCAUCAUUUAAAGAAAGCGUAAUAGCUCACUGGUCGAGUCGGCCUGCGCGGAAGAUGUAACGGGGCUAAACCAUGCACCGAAGCUGCGGCAGCGACACUAUGUGUUGUUGGGUAGGGGAGCGUUCUGUAAGCCUGUGAAGGUGUGCUGUGAGGCAUGCUGGAGGUAUCAGAAGUGCGAAUGCUGACAUAAGUAACGAUAAAGCGGGUGAAAAGCCCGCUCGCCGGAAGACCAAGGGUUCCUGUCCAACGUUAAUCGGGGCAGGGUGAGUCGACCCCUAAGGCGAGGCCGAAAGGCGUAGUCGAUGGGAAACAGGUUAAUAUUCCUGUACUUGGUGUUACUGCGAAGGGGGGACGGAGAAGGCUAUGUUGGCCGGGCGACGGUUGUCCCGGUUUAAGCGUGUAGGCUGGUUUUCCAGGCAAAUCCGGAAAAUCAAGGCUGAGGCGUGAUGACGAGGCACUACGGUGCUGAAGCAACAAAUGCCCUGCUUCCAGGAAAAGCCUCUAAGCAUCAGGUAACAUCAAAUCGUACCCCAAACCGACACAGGUGGUCAGGUAGAGAAUACCAAGGCGCUUGAGAGAACUCGGGUGAAGGAACUAGGCAAAAUGGUGCCGUAACUUCGGGAGAAGGCACGCUGAUAUGUAGGUGAAGUCCCUCGCGGAUGGAGCUGAAAUCAGUCGAAGAUACCAGCUGGCUGCAACUGUUUAUUAAAAACACAGCACUGUGCAAACACGAAAGUGGACGUAUACGGUGUGACGCCUGCCCGGUGCCGGAAGGUUAAUUGAUGGGGUUAGCCGCAAGGCGAAGCUCUUGAUCGAAGCCCCGGUAAACGGCGGCCGUAACUAUAACGGUCCUAAGGUAGCGAAAUUCCUUGUCGGGUAAGUUCCGACCUGCACGAAUGGCGUAAUGAUGGCCAGGCUGUCUCCACCCGAGACUCAGUGAAAUUGAACUCGCUGUGAAGAUGCAGUGUACCCGCGGCAAGACGGAAAGACCCCGUGAACCUUUACUAUAGCUUGACACUGAACAUUGAGCCUUGAUGUGUAGGAUAGGUGGGAGGCUUUGAAGUGUGGACGCCAGUCUGCAUGGAGCCGACCUUGAAAUACCACCCUUUAAUGUUUGAUGUUCUAACGUUGACCCGUAAUCCGGGUUGCGGACAGUGUCUGGUGGGUAGUUUGACUGGGGCGGUCUCCUCCUAAAGAGUAACGGAGGAGCACGAAGGUUGGCUAAUCCUGGUCGGACAUCAGGAGGUUAGUGCAAUGGCAUAAGCCAGCUUGACUGCGAGCGUGACGGCGCGAGCAGGUGCGAAAGCAGGUCAUAGUGAUCCGGUGGUUCUGAAUGGAAGGGCCAUCGCUCAACGGAUAAAAGGUACUCCGGGGAUAACAGGCUGAUACCGCCCAAGAGUUCAUAUCGACGGCGGUGUUUGGCACCUCGAUGUCGGCUCAUCACAUCCUGGGGCUGAAGUAGGUCCCAAGGGUAUGGCUGUUCGCCAUUUAAAGUGGUACGCGAGCUGGGUUUAGAACGUCGUGAGACAGUUCGGUCCCUAUCUGCCGUGGGCGCUGGAGAACUGAGGGGAGCUGCUCCUAGUACGAGAGGACCGGAGUGGACGCAUCACUGGUGUUCGGGUUGUCAUGCCAAUGGCACUGCCCGGUAGCUAAAUGCGGAAGAGAUAAGUGCUGAAAGCAUCUAAGCACGAAACUUGCCCCGAGAUGAGUUCUCCCUGACCCUUUAAGGGUCCUGAAGGAACGUUGAAGACGACGACGUUGAUAGGCCGGGUGUGUAAGCGCAGCGAUGCGUUGAGCUAACCGGUACUAAUGAACCGUGAGGCUUAACCUU